AGUGAACGCUGGCGGUAGGCCUAACACAUGCAAGUCGAACGGCAGCACAGUAAGAGCUUGCUCUUACGGGUGGCGAGUGGCGGACGGGUGAGGAAUACAUCGGAAUCUACUUUUUCGUGGGGGAUAACGUAGGGAAACUUACGCUAAUACCGCAUACGACCUACGGGUGAAAGCAGGGGAUCUUCGGACCUUGCGCGAUUGAAUGAGCCGAUGUCGGAUUAGCUAGUUGGCGGGGUAAAGGCCCACCAAGGCGACGAUCCGUAGCUGGUCUGAGAGGAUGAUCAGCCACACUAGAACUGAGACACGGUCCAGACUCCUACGGGAGGCAGCAGUGGGGAAUAUUGGACAAUGGGCGCAAGCCUGAUCCAGCCAUACCGCGUGGGUGAAGAAGGCCUUCGGGUUGUAAAGCCCUUUUGUGGGGAAAGAAAAGCAGCAGGUUAAUACCCCGCUGUUCUGACGGUACCCAAAGAAUAAGCACCGGCUAACUUCGUG
RNAcentral lists this ribosomal RNA (492 nucleotides) under uncultured bacterium. RNAcentral describes it as "partial 16S ribosomal RNA". It matches the Rfam family "Bacterial small subunit ribosomal RNA", at positions 29 to 507 of the family's 1533-position model. The record is from RNAcentral.